Schistosoma mansoni is the source of this 119-nucleotide ribosomal RNA. NCBI's taxonomy places the organism in Eukaryota, Metazoa, Platyhelminthes, Trematoda, Strigeidida, Schistosomatidae. The record is from Rfam.
GCCGGCGACCAUACCACGUUGAAAGCACCGGUUCUCGUCCGAUCACCGCAGUUAAGCAACGUUGGACCCAGCCAGUACUUGCAUGGGUGACCGGCUGGGAAUACCGGGUGUCGCCGGCU